Molecule: ribosomal RNA, 425 nt
Filed under: uncultured bacterium
Lineage: Bacteria
Description: partial 16S ribosomal RNA
Rfam family: Bacterial small subunit ribosomal RNA
Source: RNAcentral
GUGGGGAAUCUUGCGCAAUGGGCGAAAGCCUGACGCAGCCAUGCCGCGUGAAUGAUGAAGGUCUUAGGAUUGUAAAAUUCUUUCACCGGGGACGAUAAUGACGGUACCCGGAGAAGAAGCCCCGGCUAACUUCGUGCCAGCAGCCGCGGUAAUACGAAGGGGGCUAGCGUUGCUCGGAAUUACUGGGCGUAAAGGGCGCGUAGGCGGAUCGUUAAGUCAGGGGUGAAAUCCCAGAGCUCAACUCUGGAACUGCCCUUGAUACUGGCGAUCUUGAGUGUGAGAGAGGUAUGUGGAACUCCGAGUGUAGAGGUGAAAUUCGUAGAUAUUCGGAAGAACACCAGUGGCGAAGGCGACAUACUGGCUCAUUACUGACGCUGAGGCGCGAAAGCGUGGGGAGCAAACAGGAUUAGAAACUCCGGUAGUCC